RNAcentral lists this transfer RNA (90 nucleotides) under Rickettsiales bacterium. Its description in RNAcentral is "tRNA-Ser". It matches the Rfam family "tRNA". Rfam says of the family: Transfer RNA (tRNA) molecules are approximately 80 nucleotides in length. Their secondary structure includes four short double-helical elements and three loops (D, anti-codon, and T loops). Further hydrogen bonds mediate the characteristic L-shaped molecular structure. tRNAs have two regions of fundamental functional importance: the anti-codon, which is responsible for specific mRNA codon recognition, and the 3' end, to which the tRNAs corresponding amino acid is attached (by aminoacyl-tRNA synthetases). tRNAs cope with the degeneracy of the genetic code in two manners: having more than one tRNA (with a specific anti-codon) for a particular amino acid; and 'wobble' base-pairing, i.e. permitting non-standard base-pairing at the 3rd anti-codon position. The record is from RNAcentral. Lineage: Bacteria; Pseudomonadati; Pseudomonadota; Alphaproteobacteria; Rickettsiales.
GGAGAGGUGGCCGAGUGGCUGAAGGCGCACGCUUGGAAAGCGUGUAAAGAGGAAACUCUUUCGUGGGUUCGAAUCCCACUCUCUCCGCCA